RNAcentral lists this ribosomal RNA (235 nucleotides) under uncultured bacterium. Its description in RNAcentral is "partial 16S ribosomal RNA". It matches the Rfam family "Bacterial small subunit ribosomal RNA", at positions 118 to 347 of the family's 1533-position model. The record is from RNAcentral.
UGAGGAACAUGACCUUCGGCGGGGGAUAGCCGGCCCAACGGCCGGGUAAUACCGCGUACGACCUUUUGGGGACAUCCCCGACUGGUGAAAGCAGCAAUGCGCCGAUGGAGUGCCUCGCGGCCUAUCAGCUAGUUGGUGGGGUAACGCCUACCAAGGCGACGACGGGUAGCUGGUCUGAGAGGAUGGCCAGCCACAUUGGGACUGAGACACGGCCCAGACCUCCGUACGGGAGCAG